Molecule: ribosomal RNA, 253 nt
Filed under: uncultured bacterium
Lineage: Bacteria
Description: partial 16S ribosomal RNA
Rfam family: Bacterial small subunit ribosomal RNA
Source: RNAcentral
UACGUAGAGGGCAAGCGUUGUCCGGAUUUACUGGGCGUAAAGCGUGCGUAGGCGGAAGUUUAAGUGUGGCCUGAAAGCCCCCGGCUCAACCGGGGAGGGUGGCUGCAAACUGGGCUUCUUGAGGGGGAUAGAGGAGAGUGGAAUUCCGGGUGUAGCGGUGAAAUGCGUAGAGAUCGGGAGGAACACCAGUGGCGAAGGCGGCCAUCUGGAUCAACACUGACGCUGAGGCACGAAAGCGUGGGGAGCAAACAGG